RNAcentral lists this ribosomal RNA (443 nucleotides) under uncultured bacterium. Its description in RNAcentral is "SSU rRNA". It matches the Rfam family "Bacterial small subunit ribosomal RNA", at positions 26 to 518 of the family's 1533-position model. The record is from RNAcentral.
AGAGCGAACGCUGGCGGCAGGCCUAACACAUGCAAGUCGAACGCCCCUUCGGGGGAGUGGCGGACGGGUGAGUAACGCGUGGGAAUGUGCCCUUUGGUACGGAACAACUGAGGGAAACUUCAGCUAAUACCGUAUGUGCCCUUCGGGGGAAAGAUUUAUCGCCAUUGGAGUAGCCCGCGUUGGAUUAGGUAGUUGGUGGGGUAAAGGCCUACCAAGCCUACGAUCCAUAGCUGGUCUGAGAGGAUGAUCAGCCACACUGGGACUGAGACACGGCCCAGACUCCUACGGGAGGCAGCAGUGGGGAAUCUUGCGCAAUGGGCGAAAGCCUGACGCAGCCAUGCCGCGUGUAUGAUGAAGGUCUUAGGAUUGUAAAAUCUUUCACCGGGGAAGAUAAUGACGGUACCCGGAGAAGAAGCCCCGGCUAACUUCGUGCCAGCAGCCGC